AGUGAGUGGCGGACGGGUGAGUAACACGUGGGUAACCUGCCCAGAAGCAGGGGAUAACACCUGGAAACAGAUGCUAAUACCGUAUAACAGAGAAAACCGCCUGGUUUUCUUUUAAAAAAUGGCUCUGCUAUCACUUCUGGAUGGACCCGCGGCGCAUUAGCUAGUUGGUGAGGUAACGGCUCACCAAGGCGAUGAUGCGUACCCGACCUGAGAGGGUAAUCGGCCACAUUGGGACUGAGACACGGCCCACACUCCUACGGGAGGCAGCAGUAGGGAAUCUUCCACAAUGGACGCAAGUCUGAUGGAGCAACGCCGCGUGAGUGAAGAAGGGUUUCGGCUCGUAAAGCUCUGUUGUUAAAGAAGAACGUGGGUGAGAGUAACUGUUCACCCAGUGACGGUAUUUAACCAGAAAGCCACGGCUAACUACGUGCCAGCAGCCGCGGUAAUACGUAGGUGGCAAGCGUUAUCCGAUUUAUUGGGCGUAAAGCGAGCGCAGGCGGUCUUUUAAGUCUAAUGUGAAAGCCUUCGGCUCAACCGAAGAAGUGCAUUGGAAACUGGGAGACUUGAGUGCAGAAGAGGACAGUGGAACUCCAUGUGUAGCGGUGAAAUGCGUAGAUAUAUGGAAGAACACCAGUGGCGAAGGCGGCUGUCUGGUCUGUAACUGACGCUGAGGCUCGAAAGCAUGGGUAGCGAACAGGAUUAGAUACCCUGGUAGUCCAUGCCGUAAACGAUGAUUACUAAGUGUUGGAGGGUUUCCGCCCUUCAGUGCUGCAGCUAACGCAUUAAGUAAUCCGCCUGGGGAGUACGACCGCAAGGUUGAAACUCAAAAGAAUUGACGGGGGCCCGCACAAGCGGUGGAGCAUGUGGUUUAUAUUCGAAGCUACGCGAAGAACCUUACCAGGUCUUGACAUCUUCUGCCAACCUAAGAGAUUAGGCGUUCCCUUCGGGGACAGAAUGACAGGUGGUGCAUGGUUGUCGUCAGCUCGUGUCGUGAGAUGUUGGGUUAAGUCCCGCAACGAGCGCAACCCUUAUUACUAGUUGCCAGCAUUCAGUUGGGCACUCUAGUGAGACUGCCGGUGACAAACCGGAGGAAGGUGGGGACGACGUCAAAUCAUCAUGCCCCUUAUGACCUGGGCUACACACGUGCUACAAUGGAUGGUACAACGAGUCGCGAAACCGCGAGGUUUAGCUAAUCUCUUAAACCAUUCUCAGUUCGGACUGUAGGCUGCAACUCGCCUACACGAAGUCGGAAUCGCUAGUAAUCGCGGAUCAGCAUGCCGCGGUGAAUACGUUCCCGGGCCUUGUACACACCGCCCGUCACACCAUGAGAGUUUGUAACACCCAAAGCCGGUGGGGUAAC
This 1360-nucleotide ribosomal RNA is filed under the name uncultured Bacteroidota bacterium. RNAcentral describes it as "bacterial SSU rRNA". It matches the Rfam family "Bacterial small subunit ribosomal RNA", at positions 90 to 1439 of the family's 1533-position model. Lineage: Bacteria; Pseudomonadati; Bacteroidota. The record is from RNAcentral.